RNAcentral lists this unclassified non-coding RNA (361 nucleotides) under uncultured Solirubrobacterales bacterium. RNAcentral describes it as "contains 16S-23S intergenic spacer region". The record is from RNAcentral. Lineage: Bacteria; Bacillati; Actinomycetota; Thermoleophilia; Solirubrobacterales.
UCUGGGUUUAUCCCAGCGGUCUCGUUAGAAAGGUGUAACUAACGACGGGGGUUGCGCUCGUUGCGGGACUUAACCCAACAUCUCACGACACGAGCUGACGACAACCAUGCACCACCUGUAUACCGACCUUGCGGGGAGACUGUUUCCACACCUGUCACAUACAUGUCAAACCCAGGUAAGGUUCUUCGCGUUGCAUCGAAUUAAACCACAUGCUCCGCUGCUUGUGCGGGCCCCCGUCAAUUCCUUUGAGUUUUAGCCUUGCGGCCGUACUCCCCAGGCGGGGCACUUAGUGCGUUAGCGACGGCACGGGAGGAGUCGACACCUCCCACACCUAGUGCCCAUCGUUUACGGCGUGGACUAC